RNAcentral lists this ribosomal RNA (484 nucleotides) under uncultured bacterium. RNAcentral's name for it is "partial 16S ribosomal RNA". It matches the Rfam family "Bacterial small subunit ribosomal RNA", at positions 29 to 523 of the family's 1533-position model. The record is from RNAcentral.
AGUGAACGCUGGCGGCGUGCUUAACACAUGCAAGUCGAACGAGAACGGAUUAUAGCUUGCUAUAAUUGUCAGCUAAGUGGCGCACGGGUGAGUAAUGUAUAGGUAAUAUGCCUCUUACUAAGGGAUAACAAAUGGAAACGUUUGCUAAUACCUUAUACUCCUUAUUAACAGAAGUUAAUAAGGGAAAGAUUUAUUGGUAAGAGAUUAGCCUGUAUUGUAUCAGUUAGUUGGUGGGGUAAUGGCUUACCAAGACUAUGACACAUAACUGGUUUGAGAGGAUUAUCAGUCACACUGGAACUGAGACACGGUCCAGAGUCCUACGGGAGGCAGCAGUGGGGAAUCUUGCGCAACGGACGAAAGGCUGAUGCAGCAACGCCGCGUAGACGAUGACACAUUUCAGGGCGUAAACGCCUUUUAGGUGAGGAGAUACUGACGGUAUUAGAUGCAUAAGCACCGGCUAACUCCGUGCCAGCAGCCGCGGUAG